AUGCAGUGCUUCGUGGUUUCUGCGAUCACCAUCCGGGGCUCGAGGUGGAAACAGAAUUGUUCUGACCCGCGCAGCUUCCAUGCCGGUUUGAAACUGCAUGAAAGGGUUAGUGUAGAGAAGCAUGGAGUCCAGGUGUUUUGGACUCCAGCUCCCACCAUUCCCAACAGCCUUAGGCCGCGGCUGAGGGGAAAAAGGAAAGGGCCUGAGGCUGUUAGGAAUGGUGGGAGCUGGAGUCCAAACACCCGGAGGGAAGGCCCAAGUUUGCCCAGGCCUGGUGUCUCUCUCUCCCUGCGGCGGAGCCACGGGCAGAAAUGCCCUUCUGUUUGGGAAAAGAAGCGGGCGGCGAGGAGCUCCUUGGGACGGGCCUCGGAGCCAGCGAGGGCGGCGGAAAAGGAAGCGGGAGGGCGCCGAGGAGAAGGAAGGAAGGAGCAGCGCCGAGGGCAGCCGGGAGGGGAGCCACACAAAGAGGCCUCCCUCCCUCCUUUUCCCUCCUCCUCUUCCUUCUCCUCCUCCUACGGCGCGGAUGGCGCCCAAACACACGAGGGGCCGGCGACCCCGCUGCCUUCCCACUGCAGCCAGAGCUUUGCGAAUAAUCAAGCCAAAGGCCUUUCCCUCGGCGAGGCGCCUUCCUCCCAACAUGAGGGGAGGGGAGGGAGAGAGAGGAAAAUGGCGCGCAGUCCCGGCGCGGAGGAGCCCCGGCCUCGUCCUCCUCCUGCUGCCCGCCCGCUCGCCUCAGCCCCGGCCCCGCUCACCUUGGGCUUCUCGUCCGCCAUGGCGAGUCCGCGGGCUGGGUUCCUCUCCGAGCUCCUUCCUCACGGCCCCACGGAAAAGAUGAGAAAAAAAAAGGGCGACCGCGGCGGCCGAAGCAGAAAGACUGGGGGAGGGGGCGGGGUGAGCGCGCACGCACUGCCGCGGGGCCGCGCCUCGGCCUCCGGGGGCGCGCACGCACGGCCCUCCCCUCCCCCGUCCGCCGCCUCCCCAUUGGGCCUCCGCCGGCGAGAGCGCGCCGCGCCGUUACAUAACUCCGAGAGGAGGCGGAGGGACGCGGGCCUGCGUGCGCGCACCCCGCGCGCCGGCCCGACGUGCGCGCACCACCCGCCGCCCGCCGCGAGCUUUGCUCUCGCUCGCGAAGAGGGCAUUGUCUUUUCAAAAUGGCCGCCGGGCCUGCGAGGCUGA
Molecule: long non-coding RNA, 1176 nt
Filed under: Anolis carolinensis (green anole)
Lineage: Eukaryota; Metazoa; Chordata; Lepidosauria; Squamata; Anolidae
Description: lncRNA (ENSACAG00000037124.1)
Source: RNAcentral